CAGCACCUCAAGUGGUCAGGUUGAUUAUUGGGCCUAAAGCAUCCGUAGCCGGCGCUGUAAGUUUUCGGUUAAAUCUGUACGCUCAACGUACAGGCUGCCGGGAAUACUGCAGCGCUAGGGAGUGGGAGAGGUAGACGGUACUCGGUAGGAAGGGGUAAAAUCCUUUGAUCUAUUGAUGACCACCUGUGGCGAAGGCGGUCUACCAGAACACGUCCGACGGUGAGGGAUGAAAGCUGGGGGAGCAAACCGGAUUAGAUACCCGAGUAGUCC
RNAcentral lists this ribosomal RNA (270 nucleotides) under uncultured archaeon. RNAcentral describes it as "partial 16S ribosomal RNA". It matches the Rfam family "Archaeal small subunit ribosomal RNA", at positions 477 to 747 of the family's 1478-position model. The record is from RNAcentral.